RNAcentral lists this ribosomal RNA (331 nucleotides) under Blastocystis sp. subtype 3. Its description in RNAcentral is "SSU rRNA". It matches the Rfam family "Eukaryotic small subunit ribosomal RNA", at positions 17 to 367 of the family's 1831-position model. The record is from RNAcentral. Lineage: Eukaryota; Bigyra; Opalinata; Blastocystidae.
UUAGUAGUCAUACGCUCGUCUCAAAGAUUAAGCCAUGCAUGUGUAAGUAUAAAUAGUUAACUUUGAAACUGCGAAUGGCUCAUUAUAUCAGUUAUAGUUUAUUUGAUGAAGAAUACUAAUUGGAUAACCGUAGUAAUUCUAGAGCUAAUACAUGUAUAAAGUCUUGUAGACUGCAUUUAUUAGAAUGAAAACCAUAGGUUUCGGCCUAUUCGUGAGUAAUAAUAACUAAUCAUAUCGUAUGCUUAUGUAACGAUGUGUCUUUCAAGUUUCUGCCCUAUCAGCUUUCGAUGGUAGCUGUAUUGGACUACCAUGGCAGUAACGGGUAACGAAU